Long non-coding RNA from Centrocercus urophasianus (Greater sage-grouse), 828 nucleotides. RefSeq lists it as uncharacterized. Lineage: Eukaryota; Metazoa; Chordata; Aves; Galliformes; Phasianidae. The transcript is spliced from 6 exons. The record is from RefSeq and is a predicted model, not a curated record.
CAACCCUGAUCUCGUAAGAAAAAUUGGAUGCAAUUGCAAGUGCUGUGCGUUUGUGAGAGGAGAACUGUCCUUGAAACCUGGUUCAAACAUGAUUCACCCUCAAAGGAAUCAAAGUCCUAGUUCAGGAUAUGGUCACAGCCUUGCAAGCUGUCACUCACCUUCCUCAGGUCCAAUGAAACUGUAGUGCAAGGACUUAGAAAGUUUUGAAUUAAAUGACUUAGAAAACUGAUUAUAACAAGAUGGUAUAUACAAGACGGUAUCAUUGCACAUUAUACAGGAGCUAUGAAAGCAGAAUGGAAAUGGGUUCACCUUCAACAUAAGAGAUGAAAAUUUCAAGAAUGCAAGAUUUUUAAUAAACGAGUAAUCUCUCUCAAGACUACUCUGAAAAGAAGAAAUCUCCAUCACGAUUUGAAGUAUCCUGUUCUGGAACCACAUUUUGAUCACAGUCUUUUUAGCAUAAAAAGUUCUUGUUUCCUCUUGCAGAUAAAAAAACUUACAAGCAAAUAAACCCUGAGGCUAGAAUCCAGCAGCCAUAGGAGGAAGAAAGAACCCAGAGGAUUGCUUCCUAUGCUCUUGUGAUGGUGGAGAAGGAUUGCAGGAGAUAGUGAAGAUACUUGUGAACCUCCUUGAAGGUCAUGUCUGACAUUGGAUGGAAUGUCUGAGAGGUGUUACCGGUGAGAGCAGAACCUGCUGAGCAAAGGAGAGAAUAUGAAAAUCUGGCUUAAAGAUUAAAAGAUUACUUAAUUGUUUUUUGUUGGUUUUGUUUGUUUGUGCGUGUGUUUCAUUUUAUUUUAGCUUUAGUUUUCAUGUUAGAGUGUAUGCAAGAGU